CGCGAUAAGUCGACCGCCUGGGGAGUACGGCCGCAAGGUUAAAACUCAAAUGAAUUGACGGGGGCCCGCACAAGCGGUGGAGCAUGUGGUUUAAUUCGAUGCAACGCGAAGAACCUCACCUACUCUUGACAUCCUGCGAAUUCGGUAGAGAUACCUUAGUGCCUUCGGGAACGCAGAGACAGGUGCUGCAUGGCUGUCGUCAGCUCGUGUUGUGAAAUGUUGGGUUAAGUCCCGUAACGAGCGCAACCCUUGUCCUUAUUUGCCAGCGAGUAAUGGCGGGAACUCUAAGGAGACUGCCGGUGACAAACCGGAGGAAGGUGGGGACGACGUCAAGUCAUCAUGGCCCUUACGAGUAGGGCUACACACGUGCUACAAUGGUCGGUACAAAGGGUUGCCAACUCGCGAGAGUGAGCCAAUCCCGAAAAGCCGAUCUCAGUCCGGAUCGGAGUCUGCAACUCGACUCCGUGAAGUCGGAAUCGCUAGUAAUCGUGGAUCAGAAUGCCACGGUGAAUACGUUCCCGGGCCUUGUACACACCGCCCGUCACACCAUGGGAGUGGACUGCACCAGAAGUGGUUAGCCUAACGCAAGAGGGCG
Molecule: ribosomal RNA, 595 nt
Filed under: Vreelandella aquamarina
Lineage: Bacteria; Pseudomonadati; Pseudomonadota; Gammaproteobacteria; Oceanospirillales; Halomonadaceae
Description: bacterial SSU rRNA
Rfam family: Bacterial small subunit ribosomal RNA
Source: RNAcentral